GGGUUGUGUUGUUAGCGAGCAACGAGGCCGGACUUGAGGGAGAGAGAGAGAGAGAGAGCUGGAAGUCGUCGGCGUUGUCAGGAGAUCUAGAGGAGGGGUGGGAGAAGAAGCCCGGGAGCGAUCGGAGUUCUGCAUGCGGACGCCGCAACCGGAGCAGAAGGGGAGCAGGGGAGGAGGGUCGCCGGAGUCCUCGUGGUAGUAGCCACCGCGGAGGGCGGAGAGGUGAGGGAAGGGACGGUAGGAAGACGGCGGCGAUGGUUUUGGAGGCCCGACGAGAAGGGGCGAGGGAGAGAGAGGAGC
This 300-nucleotide long non-coding RNA is filed under the name Elaeis guineensis (African oil palm). RNAcentral describes it as "long non-coding RNA (EGUI_LNC000218)". Lineage: Eukaryota; Viridiplantae; Streptophyta; Magnoliopsida; Arecales; Arecaceae. The record is from RNAcentral.